GACGAACGCUGGCGGCGUGCCUAAUACAUGCAAGUAGAACGCUGAAGGAGGAGCUUGCUCUUCUGGAUGAGUUGCGAACGGGUGAGUAACGCGUAGGUAACCUGCCUGGUAGCGGGGGAUAACUAUUGGAAACGAUAGCUAAUACCGCAUAACAGUAGAUGCUGCAUGACAUUUGCUUAAAAGGUGCAAUUGCAUCACUACCAGAUGGACCUGCGUUGUAUUAGCUAGUUGGUGGGGUAACGGCUCACCAAGGCGACGAUACAUAGCCGACCUGAGAGGGUGAUCGGCCACACUGGGACUGGGACACGGCCCAGACUCCUACGGGAGGCAGCAGUAGGGAAUCUUCGGCAAUGGACGGAAGUCUGACCGAGCAACGCCGCGUGAGUGAAGAAGGUUUUCGGAUCGUAAAGCUCUGUUGUAAGAGAAGAACGAGUGUGAGAGUGGAAAGUUCACACUGUGACGGUAUCUUACCAGAAAGGGACGGCUAACUACGUG
Molecule: ribosomal RNA, 495 nt
Filed under: uncultured bacterium
Lineage: Bacteria
Description: partial 16S ribosomal RNA
Rfam family: Bacterial small subunit ribosomal RNA
Source: RNAcentral